Molecule: ribosomal RNA, 254 nt
Filed under: uncultured bacterium
Lineage: Bacteria
Description: partial 16S ribosomal RNA
Rfam family: Bacterial small subunit ribosomal RNA
Source: RNAcentral
UACGGAGGGUGCAAGCGUUAUCCGGAAUCACUGGGUUUAAAGGGUGCGUAGGCGGCUAUGUAAGUCAGUUGUGAAAUACCUCGGCUUAACCGAAGGAAGUGCGAUUGACACUGCGUAGCUUGAAUCAGGUUGAGGUAGGCGGAAUGUGACAUGUAGCGGUGAAAUGCUUAGAUAUGUCAUAGAACACCGAUUGCGAAGGCAGCUUACUGGGCUUUGAUUGACGCUGAGGCACGAAAGCGUGGGGAGCAAACAGG